This is a non-coding RNA of Paramuricea clavata, 267 nucleotides long. The record is from the annotation of a GenBank genome assembly. NCBI's taxonomy places the organism in Eukaryota, Metazoa, Cnidaria, Anthozoa, Malacalcyonacea, Plexauridae.
AUCCGCUGUCCCCGCACAACGUUUAGCCUGCCAGCCGAGGCAGUUUACCGGGGUGUGGCCGUCGCAUUGCCCAUGCGACUUCUUGGAGCCAGUUGUGCGAGUUGAGUGUAUGUGGAGACCAGAAGUUCACGAGCUAUCCGAGGAUGCGACUGCCCAGGAUCCAAAGGUACUACUCCUCCAUACACUAGUGUUGUAGAUAUACUAUAUAUCAUGGUAAUAGCAUGAAAAUACGGCAAGUAUGGGAAUAUGAAAAUACUAUGGAAAAGU